This 496-nucleotide ribosomal RNA is filed under the name uncultured bacterium. RNAcentral describes it as "partial 16S ribosomal RNA". It matches the Rfam family "Bacterial small subunit ribosomal RNA", at positions 29 to 507 of the family's 1533-position model. The record is from RNAcentral.
AUGCACGCUGGCGGCGUGCCUAAUACAUGCAAGUCGCGCGAACGGACGAGAAGCUUGCUUCUCUGAUGUUAGCGGCGGACGGGUGAGUAACACGUGGAUAACCUACCUAUAAGACUGGGAUAACUUCGGGAAACGGUAGCUAAUACCGGAUAAUAUUUUGAACCGCAUGGUUCAAAAGUGAAAGACGGUCUUGCUGUCACUUAUAGAUGGAUCCGCGCUGCAUUAGCUAGUUGGUAAGGUAACGGCUUACCAAGGCAACGAUGCAUAGCCGACCUGAGAGGGUGAUCGGCCACACUGGAACUGAGACACGGUCCAGACUCCUACGGGAGGCAGCAGUAGGGAAUCUUCCGCAAUGGGCGAAAGCCUGACGGAGCAACGCCGCGUGAGUGAUGAAGGUCUUCGGAUCGUAAAACUCUGUUAUUAGGGAAGAACAUAUGUGUAAGUAACUGUGCACAUCUUGACGGUACCUAAUCAGAAAGCCACGGCUAACUACGUG